RNAcentral lists this ribosomal RNA (517 nucleotides) under uncultured fungus. RNAcentral describes it as "SSU rRNA". It matches the Rfam family "Eukaryotic small subunit ribosomal RNA", at positions 214 to 732 of the family's 1831-position model. Lineage: Eukaryota; Fungi. The record is from RNAcentral.
AUAAAAAACCAAUGCCCUUCGGGGCUCCUUGGUGAUUCAUGAUAACUUAACGAAUCGCAUGGCCUUGUGCCGGCGAUGGUUCAUUCAAAUUUCUGCCCUAUCAACUUUCGAUGGUAGGAUAGUGGCCUACCAUGGUUUCAACGGGUAACGGGGAAUUAGGGUUCUAUUCCGGAGAGGGAGCCUGAGAAACGGCUACCACAUCCAAGGAAGGCAGCAGGCGCGCAAAUUACCCAAUCCCGACACGGGGAGGUAGUGACAAUAAAUACUGAUACAGGGCUCUUUUGGGUCUUGUAAUUGGAAUGAGUACAAUUUAAAUCCCUUAACGAGGAACAAUUGGAGGGCAAGUCUGGUGCCAGCAGCCGCGGUAAUUCCAGCUCCAAUAGCGUAUAUUAAGUUGUUGCAGUUAAAAAGCUCGUAGUUGAACCUUGGGCCUGGCUGGCCGGUCCGCCUCACCGCGUGCACUGGUCCGGCCGGGCCUUUCCUCCUGGGGAGCCGCAUGCCCUUCACUGGGUGUGUC